GUUUACGGUCACUCUACCCUUUGCACGCCUGAUCUCAUCUGAUUUCGGAAUGUAAGCAGGGUUUGGCCUAUUUAGGACUUGGAUGGAGGACCACCUGGGAGUAUCAGGUGCUGUAAGCU
This is a ribosomal RNA of Astyanax mexicanus (Mexican tetra), 119 nucleotides long. The record is from Ensembl. Lineage: Eukaryota; Metazoa; Chordata; Actinopteri; Characiformes; Acestrorhamphidae.